AUUGAACGCUGGCGGCAUGGCUAAAACAUGCAAGUCGAAUGAGAACCACUUCGGUGGGGACAAUGGCGAAAGGGCGAGUAACGCGAUCGAACGUACCCCGAGGCGGGGGAUAGCGUCGGGAAACCGGCAGUAAUACCCCAUAAUCUCUACGGAGGAAAGGCUUGCCACCUUGGGAGCGGCGAUCGUCCUAUCAGGUUGUUGGUGAGGUAACGGCUCACCAAGCCGAAGACGGGUAGCGGGUGUGAGAGCAUGACCCGCCGCAUCGGGACUGAGACACUGCCCGGACUCCUACGGGAGGCUGCAGUAACGAAUAUUCCGCAAUGGGCGAAAGCCUGACGGAGCAAUGCCGCGUGUGGGAUCAAGCGUCUUCGACGUGUAAACCACUGUCAGGGUCUAGGAACACUGACCAGACCCAAAGGAAGGGCCGGCUAAUUCCG
Molecule: ribosomal RNA, 437 nt
Filed under: uncultured Phycisphaerales bacterium
Lineage: Bacteria; Pseudomonadati; Planctomycetota; Phycisphaerae; Phycisphaerales
Description: bacterial SSU rRNA
Rfam family: Bacterial small subunit ribosomal RNA
Source: RNAcentral